UGGAGGCAGCAGUGGGGAAUAUUGCACAAUGGGGGAAACCCUGAUGCAGCGACGCCGCGUGAGUGAAGAAGUAUUUCGGUAUGUAAAGCUCUAUCAGCAGGGAAGAAAAUGACGGUACCUGACUAAGAAGCCCCGGCUAACUACGUGCCAGCAGCCGCGGUAAUACGUAGGGGGCAAGCGUUAUCCGGAUUUACUGGGUGUAAAGGGAGCGUAGGUGGUCUGAUAAGUCAGAUGUGAAAGCCCGGGGCUCAACCCCGGGACUGCAUCUGAUACUAUCAGGCUUGAGUGCAGGAGAGGUAAGUGGAAUUCCUAGUGUAGCGGUGAAAUGCGUAGAUAUUAGGAGGAACACCAGUGGCGAAGGCGGCUUACUGGACUGUAACUGACACUGAGGCUCGAAAGCGUGGGGAGCAAACAGGAUUAGAUACCCCGGU
Molecule: ribosomal RNA, 431 nt
Filed under: uncultured bacterium
Lineage: Bacteria
Description: bacterial SSU rRNA
Rfam family: Bacterial small subunit ribosomal RNA
Source: RNAcentral